GUCGACGAGAAGUACCUUCGGGUGCGAGUACAGUGGCGGACGGGUGAGUAACGCGUAGGAAUAUACCUGGUAGUGGGGGACAACUCGGGGAAACUCGAGCUAAUACCGCAUACGCUCUACGGAGGAAAGUGGGGGAUCUUCGGACCUCACGCUAUCAGAGUAGCCUGCGUUGGAUUAGCUAGUUGGUGGGGUAAAGGCUCACCAAGGCGACGAUCCAUAGCUGGUCUGAGAGGACGAUCAGCCACACUGGAACUGAGACACGGUCCAGACUCCUACGGGAGGCAGCAGUAGGGAAUAUUGGGCAAUGGGCGAAAGCCUGACCCAGCGAUGCCGCGUGUGUGAAGAAGGCCUUAGGGUUGUAAAGCACUUUCAGCAGUGAAGAAAUGUCGGAGGUUAAUAACUUCCGGCUUUGACGUUAACUGCAGAAGAAGUACCGGCUAACUCCGUG
Molecule: ribosomal RNA, 448 nt
Filed under: uncultured bacterium
Lineage: Bacteria
Description: bacterial SSU rRNA
Rfam family: Bacterial small subunit ribosomal RNA
Source: RNAcentral